UACGUAGGUGGCAAGCGUUAUCCGGAAUUAUUGGGCGUAAAGAGCGCGCAGGUGGUUAAUUAAGUCUGAUGUGAAAGCCCACGGCUUAACCGUGGAGGGUCAUUGGAAACUGGUUGACUUGAGUGCAGAAGAGGGAAGUGGAAUUCCAUGUGUAGCGGUGAAAUGCGUAGAGAUAUGGAGGAACACCAGUGGCGAAGGCGGCUUCCUGGUCUGCAACUGACACUGAGGCGCGAAAGCGUGGGGAGCAAACGGG
This 253-nucleotide ribosomal RNA is filed under the name uncultured bacterium. RNAcentral describes it as "partial 16S ribosomal RNA". It matches the Rfam family "Bacterial small subunit ribosomal RNA", at positions 524 to 776 of the family's 1533-position model. The record is from RNAcentral.